This is a long non-coding RNA of Paramisgurnus dabryanus, 579 nucleotides long. RefSeq lists it as uncharacterized. The record is from RefSeq and is a predicted model, not a curated record. Lineage: Eukaryota; Metazoa; Chordata; Actinopteri; Cypriniformes; Cobitidae.
CAUUGCUGUAAUGUGCCAGGUGUACUUGCAAUAAUCAGAGAAAGUACGCCAGAGUCAAAUCACACAGAGGGAGAGAGAGCACAACUCCUGGCUGCAGCUGAAGGAGGACGAUUGAUUUCUGGCAGUUCGUCUUACCAUUGCUUGUAAGCUGGAUUGGGUAAGAUGGAUCAUCUUUAAAGGAACCAGGAGUUAAGGCAGAUGUGGAGGCACAACGGGUGACACCAGACACACCCAAGCACAUUAUGUUCGGACAUUCAAUCAUGACAGGAUCCAGGUGGAUGCUGUCCAUUGAGAAAAGAGUUUGUUCAGCGGUUUCUGGAUAGAAUUAAGUCCAAAGAUGGGAAAAAGUGCACAUCCAGACAAGGAGCAAGCAAAAAGACAAGGAACUUGGUGCAGAGAAAAGCUGUGGCCAUUAACCCCCAUGUGAACAGCUUCAUGCAGUCCCUGAUUGAGUUCGAAUGGACGACUUCAAACUAAAGGCCACUGUGGUCUGUCUGCCACAGUUUAAUGCAUUUAUUUUUAGUGUUAAAUGAAAUUCAAGUAGAAUAUUUAAAACUAUGGGCCAGUGUUCUUUUUACC